CAUGUCUUUUUGAAUAUUAUUUAAAGUCUAAUCUGCUCAAUGAUAAUUUAAAUUGCCGCAGUAUCUUAACUGUGCAAAGGUAGCAUAAUAAUUAGUUUUUUUAUUGAAAGCUGGAAUGAAUGAUUGGACGAGAAAAUUUCUGUCUCUUAAUAAUUUUUUUUUGAAAUUUAUUUUUAAGUUAAAAAGCUUAAAUUUCUUUUAUAGACGAGAAGACCCUAUAGAGUUUAAUUUUUUCUUUUUAUAUUAUUAUUAAGUAAUUAAUUAUUUUAUUGUUUAGAAAAAAUUUGAUUGGGGUGAUUAAAAAAUUUAAUAAACUUUUUUAAAUUUUAAUUACUAAUUUGUAAUUUUUAAAUCUAAUAUUUUUAAGUUUAAUAUAAAUUACCUUAGGGAUAACAGCGUAAUUUUUUUUUGAAGUUCUUAUUUAAAGGAAAGAUUGCGACCUCGAUGUUGGAUUAAAAUUUAUUUUUGGCGCAAAAGCUGAAAAAUUUAAGUCUGUUCGACUUUUAAAAUUUUACAUGAUCUGAGU
This 526-nucleotide ribosomal RNA is filed under the name Malthinus sp. UPOL 001313. RNAcentral's name for it is "partial 16S ribosomal RNA". The stretch from base 389 to 526 matches the Rfam family "Bacterial large subunit ribosomal RNA", at positions 2473 to 2610 of the family's 2925-position model. The record is from RNAcentral. Lineage: Eukaryota; Metazoa; Arthropoda; Insecta; Coleoptera; Cantharidae.